UAGAUGAAAAAUGGAUGAAGAAUGGAAAAGCAAACCCUAGAAAAGAUGAAAAGAAGCCUAAGCAUCCAAGAGAUCCUCUCCAGAGAGUGAAAUUAGGUCUGGCCGCCCCCUUCUGUCAAAAGGGCUAUUUAUAGGUGAGGAGUGCAACAGAAAACAGGCCCAAGCCUAGUAGACAACCGCCCGGCGGAACAAAUGUGGCGCCCGGCGGUUUCCCUCAAAUCGCACUACCGCCCGACUGCAGGGGUCUACCGCCCGGCGGUUUGCCUCUAAUCGCAAAUCCGCCCAGCGCCCAUGCCAGGUGCCUACUCUUCGCCCUAGACCGCCCGGCUGUGUAAUUUGCCGCGGGGCGGUGCGUCGACUCUUCAAUUCUUCAAUUUUCUUCUAUUUUCUUGAGUCUACGACCUUUAUCUUUAACUCCAUUCUUCACUUUCUCAAAAUCGCUACAAAACAAUGCAAAACAAGCAUAAUAUCACUAAAAAUAGCUUUUGACUCUCUACAGACUCAUUUAUUGAGUUUUGCUUGAUUCUAAGCUCAUUCUAAGUAGUAAAGGGCGUAAUUUGGUCUAAAAUGACAUAUGAAAAUAACUGUUUUUCAACCUUCAUCAAUACCCCACUUAUUCAAAAUGUAAGCACAACUCUCUUCUUCACCAAUCCCACUUAUUCCCAACUUCUUCCCUUUUCAUUGAGCUCAAUUUCAUGCUUUUCUUCUUUUUUUUUUCUUUUUAUCAUGCAUUUUUAUUUCUCAACAUUUGAGCUCAAUGCUUUACAAUUGCUUUUCAAUUUUCCCCCAUACAACCCCAAACUUGAACCUUUU
RNAcentral lists this long non-coding RNA (813 nucleotides) under Vigna radiata. RNAcentral's name for it is "long non-coding RNA (VRAD_LNC013177)". Lineage: Eukaryota; Viridiplantae; Streptophyta; Magnoliopsida; Fabales; Fabaceae. The record is from RNAcentral.